AGUUCUAUGAUUUCAUUCUUCUGAUCCACAUUCUCUUGAUCCACAUUCUUCUGAUCCACAUUCUCAACCAAAGACAUUGUUGAUUCAUAUGGGUUCAAGAGCCAAUUUCACAUCCAUUGCUGAUUUUGAUUUUAAAGAUAAAUCAUUAUGACUUCAACUUCCGAAUCACAAAAAUGUUACACCAUAUUUGUUGAAGGCAACAUAGGGUGUGGGAAAUCAACACUUCU
This is a long non-coding RNA of Nilaparvata lugens (brown planthopper), 227 nucleotides long. RefSeq lists it as uncharacterized. Lineage: Eukaryota; Metazoa; Arthropoda; Insecta; Hemiptera; Delphacidae. The record is from RefSeq and is a predicted model, not a curated record. The transcript has 3 exons.